Cyprinodon variegatus (sheepshead minnow) is the source of this 289-nucleotide long non-coding RNA. RefSeq lists it as uncharacterized. The transcript has 3 exons. NCBI's taxonomy places the organism in Eukaryota, Metazoa, Chordata, Actinopteri, Cyprinodontiformes, Cyprinodontidae. The record is from RefSeq and is a predicted model, not a curated record.
AUAUCACACUUUCAUUGCAAAGACAAGAGGCAAAUCAGGUGUAAAACAUGUCCUAAGGGAUACUGUUUAUCACGCUGCUGUUGAUGCAUCUCCCAACCACAAUCCAACUACGUCGUGAAAUUCAAGGAAAUUGUGCCAAAGAUGUUCUACUAGAGUGUUCAGUUUUCAGCAGCAAAGCCUUUGAUUUUUUUCCCAUUCACGUGGUAUAAGGGUGUCACAGCUAUUAUCAGGAUGCAUAAAGAGCACAUACAGCCCUUCAGCUUCCCUGAUGUUUUUAAGCGGGUGUCCU